UCUGGCUUCGGCCCGAGUUGUAAUUUGCAGAGGAUGUUUCUGGCGCGGUGCCUUCCGAGUUCCCUGGAACGGGACGCCAUAGAGGGUGAGAGCCCCGUAUGGUUGGAUACCAAGCCUGUGUGAAACUCCUUCGACGAGUCGAGUAGUUUGGGAAUGCUGCUCAAAAUGGGAGGUAAAUCUCUUCUAAAGCUAAAUAUUGGCCAGAGACCGAUAGCGCACAAGUAGAGUGAUCGAAAGAUGAAAAGCACCUUGAAAAGGGGGUUAAACAGUACGUGAAAUUGUUGAAAGGGAAGCGCUCAUGACCAGACUUGUGCUGGGCAGCUCAUCCGGGGUUCUCCCCGGUGCAUUCUGCCCAGUUCAGGCCAGCAUCGAUUUUUGCUGGGGGAUAAGAACGGUAGGAACGUGGCCCUCCUUCGGGAGGGUGUUAUAGCCUACCGUACGAUACCCUAGCGGAGAUCGAGGUUCGCGCAUCUGCAAGGAUGCUGGCGUAAUGGUCAUCAGCGACCCGUCUUGAAACACGGACCAAGGAGUCGUCCAUUAGAGCGAGCGUUUGGGUGUAAAACCCGCACGCGUAAUGAAAGUGAAAUUAGGUGAGAGCUUCGGCGCAUCAUCGACCGAUCCUGAUGUUCUCGGAUGGAUUUGAGUAAGAGUUUUAACGGACGGACCCGAAAGACAGUGAACUAUGCUUGUAUAGGGUGAAGCCAGAGGAAACUCUGGUGGAGGCUCGCAGCGGUUCUGACGUGCAAAUCGAUCGUCAAAUAUGAGCAUGGGGGCGAAAGACUAAUCGAACUGUCUAGUAGCUGGUUACCGCCGAAGUUUCCCUCAGGAUAGCAGUGUUGACCUUCAGUUUUAUGAGGUAAAGCGAAUGAUUAGGGACUCGGGGGCGCUUUUUAGCCUUCAUCCAU
RNAcentral lists this ribosomal RNA (905 nucleotides) under Coniella vitis. RNAcentral describes it as "eukaryotic LSU rRNA". It matches the Rfam family "Eukaryotic large subunit ribosomal RNA", at positions 121 to 1055 of the family's 3401-position model. Lineage: Eukaryota; Fungi; Ascomycota; Sordariomycetes; Diaporthales; Schizoparmaceae. The record is from RNAcentral.